This 2598-nucleotide long non-coding RNA is filed under the name Citrus maxima (pomelo). Its description in RNAcentral is "long non-coding RNA (CMAX_LNC004111)". The record is from RNAcentral. Lineage: Eukaryota; Viridiplantae; Streptophyta; Magnoliopsida; Sapindales; Rutaceae.
AAAUAUGUAAGACAAGCACUCUCAAUAUAACUCAAUAUACAACAAACUCAAGUGAUCAACAUCCUCAACCAAAAUGCUGAGUUUUAUAUCUCCAAAGUCUCAAAAGAUAAUAUUAUAACUACUAUUAAUAUAUCAGUUUAUUCUUAAUCCCAAACGAAUAAUAUAAAAAAAUUAUACAAUCCCAACAAGACGAGAUAACCAAGAUGUCCUAACAAAAAAAAAAAUCUUUUAACACCAUUACGUGGCCAAGUCUCAAAAUAUAUUUACAGUCGCUGGGUCGGUCUGGUGUACUUGCAACCUCCUGGUGAGGGGGAGAAAAUAUAAUAAAACGGGGUGAGUAUAAAACUCAGUGAGAUCAGUGAGUGGAUAGUAGUUUUUAAAAAUUAAUUCUUACUUUAAAAGAAAUAAUCAUAUCAUUUCCAAACACGAUUUCACCAAGCCAUAUGCAAGAAACCAGCAGUAAAUCAUUUAACAUUUAAAUCAGAUUACUAACUAUGAAAAGCAUAUAUAAUAUCGUACCAAAUAACUAUGGAAAUCAUAUCACAAUAUCAUAUAGAAUAGACAAAUAUGAAAAUCAUCACCAAACAAGUACCCAAGGGAAUAAUCUUGUCAUAUCCGGACCUCAAUAGAUGGGGAAUGACGUACUAUCUGGGUACCAUCAUACCCCGGAGCUACAUGGAUAGACAGGGAAAUACCAUCUCAUAUCCCAUCAUAUCUGUGCAUGCAUAAUCCAGUCCCCAAAGGAAAAAAGCGCCCAAGUACACGGCCCAAAGCCGCUGUGUGUACUCAGACGGGCCCCAAAGGCCUGUAUCUCAUUCGUAUCAUCUGUAUCUCAAUAUCUGUCUGUAUUUCAUAUAUGAAAAUCAUCACCAAACAAGUACCUAAGGGAAUAAUCUUGUUAUAUCCGGACCUCAAUAGAUGGGCAAUGACGUACUAUCUGGGUACCGUCACGCCCCGGAGCUACAUGGAUAGACAGGGAAAUACCAUCUUAUAUCUCAUCAUAUCUGUGCAUGCAUAAUCUAGUCCCCAAAGGAAAAAAGCGCCCAAGUACAUAGCCCAAAGCCUCUGUGUGUACUCAGACGGGCCCCAAAGGCCUGUAUCUCAUUCGUAUCAUCUGUAUCUUAAUAUUUGUCUGUAUCUCAUAUAUGUAUCUCUGUAAUGAUCAUACCGCAUGCAUAUGCCCCCAAAAGGCAAAAGCGCCCAAACACACGGCCCAAAGCCUCUAUAUGUGUUCAGACGAGCCACAAAGGCCUCUCAUCUCAUAUCACAUGUAUCACUGUAUCUGGAGGGGAAGGGUACUGUUUAAUGAUUUUAAAAAAAACAAUCUCUAUACUCAUAUUCAUGUAUAUUCUAAUCAUACUUUAAAUCAUACAUUCCUUUUCAUUAUCACAUCUAAAUCCACUUUCUCAUCUUUAAAAUACUAUCAUAUUUCAUUCAAAGUCGAUACACAAAAUCAUUAACCAAACAUUUUAAUAUAAUAUCAAUGCGUGAAUAAAAUCCAUUUCAAGGGAAUCAUUAAAUCAAAACAUUUAAAAUACUUAUUUCACAAACAUGCUUUACUAUCAUAAUUAACUAUGAAAAUAGGUUUUGUAUAUUUCACUCACAGUGAUGGUGUUCACACUCGGUUAUCGUCCACGUCCGCAGAUCAGUUCUUGCUCGCGAAUCCUCCUAAAUCAAGGAAACGACAUAAUUAUUUUCUAUAAAUCGAAAUUAUGACUAAAUUUAUACAAAACACUCGAAAUGAAAUUCUAUUCAUAAUUUACAACUCCUAUGUCGAUAAAAUCUCUAAAAUACCCUCGAAUCCGUAAAUCAUUAACAUACUCCGAAAUCGUAAAUCACCGAAUUACCCUCGGAAUAGUAAUUACACCCAAUCCUCAAUUUCAGAAAUUACUAAAAUAUCCACAGGCUCAGAAAUUACAAAAUUGCCCUCAUAGUGUGAAAUUACCGAAAUGCCCUUGUAGGUCAACAGUCACCGGAAUUUAGUCAACGCUGGCUAGGAAGCUCAAGUCUGAAAGUUCUGGCCACACUGAGUCCAACGGUGGAGGUGGUGACCUCCCACGCGCGGCGAUGACUCUGGAUCGAGUUCUCAAAGUCGUAAGUCUUUCAACGGCCAAUCAACAACAAAACGAUGUCCCCCGGCGACAAUGGAUGGUCAGAAAUGGCAGAGGACAGGGUGAGGAAUAAAACCUAGCUGGUUGCGUCACCAAAAAUUGGUGGAAUCGAUGGCGACGAAAACAGGCGGAGCCGCGGGUUUUCAAGCUUCGAUCGCCGGCGUUCCCGUUGGUUUUUGGCGGCAAGGAUGGCAGGGGAACGACGGCCGACUUCUAAGCUUCCAUUUGGUACCUUGCUCGGCCGAAACGGUGGCCGGAAAUGGGAGAUAUGGCUGGGUCGAUUUCAGGUCAAACGGGUCAGGGUUUCGGGUCGGGUUGACAGCUUCUCUCUCUCAUUCUUCACACACAUGUGGCUUCCCUCUCCUAUUUCCAGCUUCUUUUAUUUAUUUAUAAAAUCCUUAACAGCCUCAUUUCUUUUAUUUAUUUUCACGUAUGUUACACUGAGAGUAACAAAGUGAUUUCUAUGUGGGUUUAUUGAAGAUUUUUG